Molecule: ribosomal RNA, 423 nt
Filed under: Streptococcus mitis
Lineage: Bacteria; Bacillati; Bacillota; Bacilli; Lactobacillales; Streptococcaceae
Description: bacterial SSU rRNA
Rfam family: Bacterial small subunit ribosomal RNA
Source: RNAcentral
GACGAACGCUGGCGGCGUGCCUAAUACAUGCAAGUAGAACGCUGAAGGAGGAGCUUGCUUCUCUGGAUGAGUUGCGAACGGGUGAGUAACGCGUAGGUAACCUGCCUGGUAGCGGGGGAUAACUAUUGGAAACGAUAGCUAAUACCGCAUAAGAGUAGAUGUUGCAUGACAUUUGCUUAAAAGGUGCAAUUGCAUCACUACCAGAUGGACCUGCGUUGUAUUAGCUAGUUGGUGAGGUAACGGCUCACCAAGGCAACGAUACAUAGCCGACCUGAGAGGGUGAUCGGCCACACUGGGACUGAGACACGGCCCAGACUCCUACGGGAGGCAGCAGUAGGGAAUCUUCGGCAAUGGACGGAAGUCUGACCGAGCAACGCCGCGUGAGUGAAAGAAAGGGUUUUCGGGAUCGUAAAAGCCUCUGUU